GUGGGGAAUAUUGGACAAUGGGCGAAAGCCUGAUCCAGCAAUGCCGCGUGAGUGAUGAAGGCCUUAGGGUUGUAAAGCUCUUUUACCAGGGAUGAUAAUGACAGUACCUGGAGAAUAAGCUCCGGCUAACUCCGUGCCAGCAGCCGCGGUAAUACGGAGGGAGCUAGCGUUGUUCGGAAUUACUGGGCGUAAAGCGCACGUAGGCGGCUUUUCAAGUCAGGGGUGAAAUCCCGGGGCUCAACCCCGGAACUGCCCUUGAAACUGGAUGGCUAGAAUACUGGAGAGGUGAGUGGAAUUCCGAGUGUAGAGGUGAAAUUCGUAGAUAUUCGGAAGAACACCAGUGGCGAAGGCGACUCACUGGACAGUUAUUGACGCUGAGGUGCGAAAGCGUGGGGAGCAAACAGG
This 405-nucleotide ribosomal RNA is filed under the name uncultured bacterium. RNAcentral describes it as "bacterial SSU rRNA". It matches the Rfam family "Bacterial small subunit ribosomal RNA", at positions 354 to 776 of the family's 1533-position model. The record is from RNAcentral.